RNAcentral lists this transfer RNA (76 nucleotides) under Acidobacteriota bacterium. RNAcentral describes it as "Acidobacteria bacterium tRNA-Val". It matches the Rfam family "tRNA". From Rfam's summary of the family: Transfer RNA (tRNA) molecules are approximately 80 nucleotides in length. Lineage: Bacteria; Pseudomonadati; Acidobacteriota. The record is from RNAcentral.
GGGCGAUUAACUCAGUUGGUAGAGUGCCAUCCUCACACGGUGGGAGUCACAGGUUCGAGCCCUGUAUCGCCCACCA